GAACGGCCGCUUUCCUUAGUAAUCCACAUUUCAGUGCAAUAUACUUCCAAAACUAUUUGUAACUUCUUUCACCGUUCUCAUGGCAGGACACUCGUGCGGCUAUAGCUCCUCCGGCAACUUAUAGUUUCAGAAGUAAAUUUUCCCUUAAAUUUUUGCGUUCUGCCUUGGAAUGGGGCCGCCGCUGCAGGGAUUCGAACACGCGACCUCGUGCUCAGUCUAUCCGCUAGUAUAUCGGCUGUGAAGCAAUUAAUUGAAAAGUUAUUUAGCUAAUUUUCUAUAGUUUAUUACGCCGUUCGAUUUCUCGCUCAAGUAUAAUGUCCGCCUCUUCGACUAUUCCAACUCAAGGACUAUAAUUGCGCUAUCUGCCAAAGGCGUUUUAAAACCAUUCUGCAAGAUUUGAAGAAAACAAAAGAAAGAAAACGGCACCCCGCAUUUACGCUUAUAUUUGCAAUUCUCUGGAUAACAGGUUACGUAGCCGGAGAAAGAAGGGGCAGAUAAACCUAGGAUGAAUUAUGCACUACAUGCUGAAAAUAACGUCAGAGCUGCGCUUAGAGCGUUACAAGUGCCCGCUCAUACGAACUGCCGCUUGCACCUCCUUGAAACACACAAGCGCGCGUCUCAACUCCGUGCAGUCAAAGUAAAUGGCGCCGUCUGCUGUACUACCUCGCCGUCGCUGCGGUUCUCGUGUACUGCGCAGUACUCAUCGUGGCCAGAAUCAGCACACGUGAAAGGAACGUAGCCACGGCCAGAAGAGAAACUACAAUAACCAUGGUUUCAACGGCUGCUCCUGCAGACACAGACUCGGCGACAAAUGUUUCCACGAGAAUCUUAACAAGUUUGCAAAGCGAUGAUUCGACAUUAUCUUCGGCAUCAGCGUCAAGACUUCGACAAGGACGAGGCGGAAAACGCGCCAUUCAAGCUGCGUCUACUUCAACAGCUUCAAGACGCCGAAGUAGCAGCGCUACAUCGAGCUUAACAAAUUUAUGAGUUCUCACCGUAUAUAUAUGGCGGCUGCUUGCGAGUGUCACAACAGGGAACUCGCGUGUGCCAAUGCGGGACAGCCACUCAGGACGAUUGACGGCGUCUCGCUCUCGUACAUAAGUAUAAAGAAACAGCAGCUGCUGAUCUCUGCAAUUAACGGCAGCCGUCUUGGACAUCAUACUUAA
Long non-coding RNA from Dermacentor andersoni, 1166 nucleotides. RefSeq lists it as uncharacterized. The record is from RefSeq and is a predicted model, not a curated record. Lineage: Eukaryota; Metazoa; Arthropoda; Arachnida; Ixodida; Ixodidae.